RNAcentral lists this ribosomal RNA (546 nucleotides) under uncultured Bifidobacterium sp. RNAcentral describes it as "partial 16S rRNA". Lineage: Bacteria; Bacillati; Actinomycetota; Actinomycetes; Bifidobacteriales; Bifidobacteriaceae. The record is from RNAcentral.
GGUGUUCUUCCCGAUAUCUACACAUUCCACCGUUACACCGGGAAUUCCAGUCUCCCCUACCGCACUCAAGCCCGCCCGUACCCGGCGCGGAUCCACCGUUAAGCGAUGGACUUUCACACCGGACGCGACGAACCGCCUACGAGCCCUUUACGCCCAAUAAUUCCGGAUAACGCUUGCACCCUACGUAUUACCGCGGCUGCUGGCACGUAGUUAGCCGGUGCUUAUUCGAAAGGUACACUCACCCCGAAGGGCUUGCUCCCAGUCAAAAGCGGUUUACAACCCGAAGGCCGUCAUCCCGCACGCGGCGUCGCUGCAUCAGGCUUGCGCCCAUUGUGCAAUAUUCCCCACUGCUGCCUCCCGUAGGAGUCUGGGCCGUAUCUCAGUCCCAAUGUGGCCGGUCGCCCUCUCAGGCCGGCUACCCGUCGAAGCCAUGGUGGGCCGUUACCCCGCCAUCAAGCUGAUAGGACGCGACCCCAUCCCAUACCGAUGAAUCUUUCCCGACACGACAUGCGUCAUGUCGGAGCAUCCGGCAUUACCACCCGUUUC